Molecule: ribosomal RNA, 187 nt
Filed under: uncultured bacterium
Lineage: Bacteria
Description: partial 16S ribosomal RNA
Rfam family: Bacterial small subunit ribosomal RNA
Source: RNAcentral
UGCAACCCGACUCCGUGAAGCUGGAUUCGCUAGUAAUCGCGCAUCAGCCAUGGCGCGGUGAAUACGUUCCCGGGCCUUGUACACACCGCCCGUCAAGCCAUGGGAGCCGGGGGUGCUUGAAGUGCGUCGCCGCAAGGCGCGCCCUAGAGCAAAACCGGUGACUGGGGCUAAGUCGUAACAAGGUAGC